Molecule: ribosomal RNA, 473 nt
Filed under: uncultured bacterium
Lineage: Bacteria
Description: bacterial SSU rRNA
Rfam family: Bacterial small subunit ribosomal RNA
Source: RNAcentral
UGGGGAAUUUUGGACAAUGGGCGAAAGCCUGAUCCAGCAAUGCCGCGUGAGUGAAGAAGGCCUUCGGGUUGUAAAGCUCUUUUGUCAGGGAAGAAACGGUGAGAGCUAAUAUCUCUUGCUAAUGACGGUACCUGAAGAAUAAGCACCGGCUAACUACGUGCCAGCAGCCGCGGUAAUACGUAGGGUGCAAGCGUUAAUCGGAAUUACUGGGCGUAAAGCGUGCGCAGGCGGUUUUGUAAGUCUGAUGUGAAAUCCCCGGGCUCAACCUGGGAAUUGCAUUGGAGACUGCAAGGCUAGAAUCUGGCAGAGGGGGGUAGAAUUCCACGUGUAGCAGUGAAAUGCGUAGAUAUGUGGAGGAACACCGAUGGCGAAGGCAGCCCCCUGGGUCAAGAUUGACGCUCAUGCACGAAAGCGUGGGGAGCAAACAGGAUUAGAUACCCGAGUAGUCCCUGAGCGGGCUGGCAAGGCGCGAU